GACGAACGCUGGCGGCGUGCUUAACACAUGCAAGUCGAACGGAAAGGCCCUGCUUGCAGGGUACUCGAGUGGCGAACGGGUGAGUAACACGUGGGUGAUCUGCCCUGCACUUCGGGAUAAGCCUGGGAAACUGGGUCUAAUACCGGAUAGGAGCCAUUUUUAGUUAGAUGGUUGGAAAGUUUUUUCGGUGUAGGAUGAGCUCGCGGCCUAUCAGCUUGUUGGUGGGGUAAUGGCCUACCAAGGCUGCGACGGGUAGCCGGCCUGAGAGGGUGGACGGCCACAUUGGGACUGAGAUACGGCCCAGACUCCUACGGGAGGCAGCAGUGGGGAAUAUUGCACAAUGGGCGCAAGCCUGAUGCAGCGACGCCGCGUGGGGGAUGACGGCAUUCGGGUUGUAAACUCCUUUCGCUAGGGACGAAGCUUUUGUGACGGUACCUAGAUAAGAAGCACCGGCUAACUACGUG
RNAcentral lists this ribosomal RNA (464 nucleotides) under uncultured bacterium. RNAcentral's name for it is "partial 16S ribosomal RNA". It matches the Rfam family "Bacterial small subunit ribosomal RNA", at positions 28 to 507 of the family's 1533-position model. The record is from RNAcentral.